CUACGGGGCGCAGCAGUGGGGAAUAUUGCACAAUGGGCGCAAGCCUGAUGCAGCCAAGCCGCGUGUAUGAAGAAGGCCUUCGGGUUGUAAAGUACUUUCAGCGGGGAGGAAGGGAGUAAAGUUAAUACCUUUGCUCAUUGACGUUACCCGCAGAAGAAGCACCGGCUAACUCCGUGCCAGCAGCCGCGGUAAUACGGAGGGUGCAAGCGUUAAUCGGAAUGACUGGGCGUAAAGCGCACGCAGGCGGUUUGUUAAGUCAGAUGUGAAAUCCCCGGGCUCAACCUGGGAACUGCAUCUGAUACUGGCAAGCUUGAGUCUCGUAGAGGGGGGUAGAAUUCCAGGUGUAGCGGUGAAAUGCGUAGAGAUCUGGAGGAAUACCGGUGGCGAAGGCGGCCCCCUGGACGAAGACUGACGCUCAGGUGCGAAAGCGUGGGGAGCAAACAGGAUUAGAUACCCGAGUAGUC
RNAcentral lists this ribosomal RNA (464 nucleotides) under uncultured bacterium. RNAcentral's name for it is "partial 16S ribosomal RNA". It matches the Rfam family "Bacterial small subunit ribosomal RNA", at positions 339 to 795 of the family's 1533-position model. The record is from RNAcentral.